This 1862-nucleotide ribosomal RNA is filed under the name Euplotes focardii. Its description in RNAcentral is "Eukaryotic small subunit ribosomal RNA". It matches the Rfam family "Eukaryotic small subunit ribosomal RNA". The record is from RNAcentral. Lineage: Eukaryota; Ciliophora; Spirotrichea; Euplotida; Euplotidae.
AUCUGGUUGAUCCUGCCAGUAGUCAUACGCUUGUCUCAAAGAUUAAGCCAUGCAUGUCUAAGUAUAAAGGUUACAUACAAUGAAACUGCGAAUGGCUCAUUCAAACAGUUAUAGUUUAUUUGGAUUAAAACAUUUGUUUAAAUGGAUAACCGUAGUAAUUCUAGGGCUAAUACAUGCGUUACGAGGGACUUUACGGAACCUCAGUAUUUAUUAGAUUUCAAACCAAUAUUCCGCAAGGUCUACUGAGAUGAUUCAUGAUAACUUAUCGGAUUGCUGGGUCUACCGGCAAUGAACCAUUCAUGUUUCUGCUUCCCAUCAGCUUGAUGGUAGUGUAUUGGACAACCAUGGCAUUCACGGGCUAUCGGGGGAUUAGGGUUCGAUUCCGGAGAGGGAGCCUGAGAAACGGCUACCACUUCUACGGAAGGCAGCAGGCGCGAAAAUUAUCCAAUCCUGAUUCAGGGAGGUAGUGAAAGAAAUAAUGAACUAGGAUUUAUCCUGGGGUCACAAUGGGCUUGAUUUGCAAACUUUCUAGCGAGGAACAAUUGGAGGGCAAGUCUGGUGCCAGCAGCCGCGGUAAUUCCAGCUCCAAUAGUGUAUAUUAAUGUUCCUGCAGUUAUUCGAUGCUCGUAGUUGGAUUUCUGGAGGCUGAGACAGGAGGGCAGCCAAGGUUGUCGCCAGUCUCUUCCUUCAUCCGCCUGUUAACGUUGUCCGGGAUUUAUUUCUCGGCUUCGGGCUCAGGUACUUUUUUUGUUUUACCCUUUCUUUAUAUUCAUUUAUUUAUCUUUAUUUUUUGAGCAAAUUAUAGUGUUUCAGGCAGGCGUGCGCCGGAAUACAUUAGCAUGGAAUAAUCGAAUUGGACCGUGUAUUCACUAUGUGAAUUCUUCCUUAUUUGUUGGUUCUAAGGACACGGAUAUGAUUAAUAGGGAUAGUAAUUUUCAGGGGAGGCAUUAGUAUUUAAUUUCCAGAGGUGAAAUUCUUUGAAAUAUUAAAGACUAACUUAUGCGAAAGCAUUUAUUUUGCCAAUAAUGUUUUCAUUAAUCAUUGAACGAAAGUUAGGGGAUCAAAGACGAUCAGAUACCGUCCUAGUCUUAACCAUAAACGUUGCCGACUAGGGAUCGGAGGGCGUGCACAUUCCGCCUUCGGCACCUUACGAGAAAUCAAAGUCUUUUGGGUUCUGGGGGUAGUAUGGUCGCAAGGCUGAAACUUAAAGGAAUUGACGGAAGGGCACCACCAGGAGUGGAGCUUGCGGCUCAAUUUGACUCAACACGGGAAAUCUUACCAGGUCCAGACAUAGCGAGGAUUGACAGAUUGAUAGCUCUUUCUUGAUUCUAUGGGUAUUUUUGGUGGUGCAUGGCCGUUCUUAGUUGGUGGAGUGAUUUGUCUGGUUAAUUCCGUUAACGAACGAGACCUCGACCUACUAAAUAGUUCGACAAACCAUUUGGUUUGGCUGCAACUUCUUAGAGGGACUAUCAGAAUGUAACUGAUGGAGGUUCGAGGCAAUAACAGGUCUGUGAUGCCCUUAGAUGUCCUGGGCCGCACGCGUGCUACACUGAUGCAUACAGCGAGCACUUCCCGGCCCCGAAAGGCGGCUGGUAAUCAGCAAUAUGCAUCGUGAUGGGGAUAGUUCUUUGGAAUUCUUGAACUUGAACGAGGAAUGCCUAGUAGGCGCAAGUCAUUACCUUGCGUCGAUUAAGUCCCUGCCCUUUGUACACACCGCCCGUCGCUCCUACCGAUUCGAGUGAUCCGGUGAACCUUUUGGACCGGAGCUGCUUGCAGUUCUGGAAAAUCAAGUAAACCACGUCACUUAGAGGAAGGAGAAGUCGUAACAAGGUUUCCGUAGGUGAACCUGCGGAAGGAUCAAU